This 253-nucleotide ribosomal RNA is filed under the name uncultured prokaryote. RNAcentral describes it as "partial 16S ribosomal RNA". It matches the Rfam family "Bacterial small subunit ribosomal RNA", at positions 524 to 776 of the family's 1533-position model. The record is from RNAcentral.
UACGUAGGGGGCCAGCGUUGCUCGGAAUUACUGGGCGUAAAGGGCGCGUAGGCGGUGCGCUAAGUCAGAUGUGAAAGCCCUGGGCUUAACCCGGGAACUGCAUUUGAUACUGGCGCGCUUGAAUCCGGGAGAGGUUGGUGGAAUUCCCAGUGUAGAGGUGAAAUUCGUAGAGAUUGGGAAGAACACCGGUGGCGAAGGCGGCCAACUGGACCGGUAUUGACGCUGAGGCGCGAAAGCGUGGGGAGCAAACAGG